This 492-nucleotide ribosomal RNA is filed under the name uncultured bacterium. Its description in RNAcentral is "partial 16S ribosomal RNA". It matches the Rfam family "Bacterial small subunit ribosomal RNA", at positions 29 to 507 of the family's 1533-position model. The record is from RNAcentral.
AGUGAACGCUGGCGGUAGGCCUAACACAUGCAAGUCGAACGGCAGCACAGUAAGAGCUUGCUCUUACGGGUGGCGAGUGGCGGACGGGUGAGGAAUACAUCGGAAUCUACUUUUUCGUGGGGGAUAACGUAGGGAAACUUACGCUAAUACCGCAUACGACCUACGGGUGAAAGCAGGGGAUCUUCGGACCUUGCGCGAUUGAAUGAGCCGAUGUCGGAUGAGCUAGUUGGCGGGGUAAAGGCCCACCAAGGCGACGAUCCGUAGCUGGUCUGAGAGGAUGAUCGGCCAAACUGGAACUGGAACACGGUCCAGACUCCUACGGGAGGCAGCAGUGGGGAAUAUUGGACAAUGGGCGCAAGCCUGAUCCAGCCAUACCGCGUGGGUGAAGAAGGCCUUCGGGUUGUAAAGCCCUUUUGUUGGGAAAGAAAAGCAGCAGGUUAAUACCCCGCUGUUCUGACGGUACCCAAAGAAUAAGCACCGGCUAACUUCGUG